AUGUUGCAGAUACCAUCUCUUAAGAUGCGUACCCUUCUGAUUAGGUAUAUGAUUGAGAAUUUUGAUGCCAGCAAGUCUAGAUUCAUUAUACAAGAGUAGGUUGGGGAGGUGACUCUCGGUGCGGUCGACGUCGAGUGCAUCUUUAACCUCGAGAACCAAGGACUCUCCGCUUCGGACAUUCUGAUUGAAGGAGAGGACAUGAAGGAGCGGGUGCCACCACAAUUUCUCAGUAAGACAUCAGAAAACAUAGUGAUAGAUAAUCUCAUUGAGGACAUAAUUAAAAGUAAAGCCACCGACAAUGAUUUUUUUUGGAAAUUAGUCCUUGUCCUGUUAGGAACAAUUAUUGCUCCCAUGUCGAGCAAGAUUGUGCCAAAGCAGUACUACACUUUGGUCCAUGAUGUGAAACGUAUUUCAAAGAUUAACUGGAAUGCCUUCACCCUGCGUGUUCUACUCGAUUGCCUUCGCAUAGUGAAGAAAGGAAAACACCUACGCCAAUGGCCAAAAGGCAAUUUGGCUUUGUUGCAGGUACACAAAUGA
RNAcentral lists this ribosomal RNA (537 nucleotides) under Triticum aestivum (bread wheat). RNAcentral's name for it is "partial small subunit ribosomal RNA". The record is from RNAcentral. Lineage: Eukaryota; Viridiplantae; Streptophyta; Magnoliopsida; Poales; Poaceae.